GACGUAGGGCGCGAGCGUUGUCCGGAUUUAUUGGGCGUAAAGAGCUCGUAGGCGGCUUGUCGCGUCGGCUGUGAAAACCCGCGGCUCAACUGUGGGCGGGCAGCUGAUACGGGCAGGCUGGAGUUCGGUAGGGGAGACUGGAAUUCCUGGUGUAGCGGUGAAAUGCGCAGAUAUCAGGAGGAACACCGGUGGCGAAGGCGGCAUCCUGGACCGGUAUUGACGCUGAGGCGCGAAAGCCAGGGGAGCAAACGGG
This 253-nucleotide ribosomal RNA is filed under the name uncultured bacterium. Its description in RNAcentral is "partial 16S ribosomal RNA". It matches the Rfam family "Bacterial small subunit ribosomal RNA", at positions 524 to 776 of the family's 1533-position model. The record is from RNAcentral.